This 22-nucleotide microRNA is filed under the name Sarcophilus harrisii (Tasmanian devil). Its description in RNAcentral is "Sha-Novel-14-P4_5p* (star (passenger))". Lineage: Eukaryota; Metazoa; Chordata; Mammalia; Dasyuromorphia; Dasyuridae. The record is from RNAcentral.
GGUGCCUAGUGUUUGAGAAGGA